This 253-nucleotide ribosomal RNA is filed under the name uncultured bacterium. RNAcentral's name for it is "partial 16S ribosomal RNA". It matches the Rfam family "Bacterial small subunit ribosomal RNA", at positions 524 to 776 of the family's 1533-position model. The record is from RNAcentral.
UACGAACCGUCCAAACGUUACUCGGAAUCACUGGGCUUAAAGGGUGCGUAGGCCGCGCGGAGGGUGGGAUGUGAAAGCCCCCGGCUCAACCGGGGAAUUGCGCUUGAAACUGGAGAGCUCGAGUCAGCUAGAGGUGCACGGAACUUCCAGUGGAGCGGUGAAAUGCGUUGAUAUUGGUAGGAACGCCGGUGGCGAAAGCGCGCAACUGGAUCUCUUCUGACGCUGAGGCGCGAAAGCUAGGGGAGCAAACGGG